UUGACCUCGGAUCAGGUAGGGAUACCCGCUGAACUUAAGCAUAUCAAAGG
RNAcentral lists this ribosomal RNA (50 nucleotides) under Bipolaris maydis (southern corn leaf blight pathogen). RNAcentral's name for it is "partial 28S ribosomal RNA". The record is from RNAcentral. Lineage: Eukaryota; Fungi; Ascomycota; Dothideomycetes; Pleosporales; Pleosporaceae.